Molecule: transfer RNA, 77 nt
Filed under: Acidobacteriota bacterium
Lineage: Bacteria; Pseudomonadati; Acidobacteriota
Also listed under: 6 other names
Description: Acidobacteria bacterium tRNA-Arg
Rfam family: tRNA
About the family: Transfer RNA (tRNA) molecules are approximately 80 nucleotides in length. Their secondary structure includes four short double-helical elements and three loops (D, anti-codon, and T loops).
Source: RNAcentral
GCGCCCGUAGCUCAGCUGGAUAGAGCAUCAGGCUUCGAACCUGAGGGUCGGGCGUUCGAGUCGCUCCGGGCGCACCA